This 556-nucleotide ribosomal RNA is filed under the name uncultured archaeon. RNAcentral's name for it is "bacterial SSU rRNA". It matches the Rfam family "Archaeal small subunit ribosomal RNA", at positions 586 to 1139 of the family's 1478-position model. The record is from RNAcentral.
GUAGAACUAGGGAGUGGGAGAGGUAGACGGUAUUCGGUAGGAAGGGGUAAAAUCCUUUGAUCUAUUGAGGACCACCUGUGGCGAAGGCGGUCUACCAGAACACGUUCGACGGUGAGGGAUGAAAGCUGGGGGAGCAAACCGGAUUAGAUACCCGGGUAGUCCCAGCUGUAAACUAUGCAAACUCAGUGAUGCAUUGGCUUGUGGCCAGUGCAGUGCCGCAGGGAAGCCGUUAAGUUUGCCGCCUGGGAAGUACGUACGCAAGUAUGAAACUUAAAGGAAUUGGCGGGGGAGCACCACAAGGGGUGAAGCCUGCGGUUCAAUUGGAGUCAACGCCAGAAAUCUUACCCGGAGAGACAGCAGGAUGAAGGUCAAGCUGAAGACUUUACCAGACAAGCUGAGAAGUGGUGCAUGGCCGUCGCCAGCUCGUGCCGUGAGAUGUCCUGUUAAGUCAGGUAACGAGCGAGAUCCUUGCCUCUAGUUGCCACCAUUACUCUCAGGAGUAGUGGGGCGAAUUAGCGGGACUGCCGUAGUUAAUACGGAGGAAGGAGAGGGCCAC